GAACUGAAGAGUUUGAUCAUGGCUCAGAUUGAACGCUGGCGGCAGGCCUAACACAUGCAAGUCGAGCGGAUGAAGGGRGCUUGCUCCUGGAUUCAGCGGCGGACGGGUGAGUAAUGCCUAGGAAUCUGCCUGGUAGUGGGGGAUAACGUCCGGAAACGGGCGCUAAUACCGCAUACGUCCUGAGGGAGAAAGUGGGGGAUCUUCGGACCUCACGCUAUCAGAUGAGCCUAGGUCGGAUUAGCUAGUUGGUGGGGUAAAGGCCUACCAAGGCGACGAUCCGUAACUGGUCUGAGAGGAUGAUCAGUCACACUGGAACUGAGACACGGUCCAGACUCCUACGGGAGGCAGCAGUGGGGA
Molecule: ribosomal RNA, 357 nt
Filed under: Pseudomonas aeruginosa
Lineage: Bacteria; Pseudomonadati; Pseudomonadota; Gammaproteobacteria; Pseudomonadales; Pseudomonadaceae
Description: bacterial SSU rRNA
Rfam family: Bacterial small subunit ribosomal RNA
Source: RNAcentral